RNAcentral lists this non-coding RNA (439 nucleotides) under Cyphomyrmex costatus. RNAcentral describes it as "Eukaryotic large subunit ribosomal RNA". It matches the Rfam family "Eukaryotic large subunit ribosomal RNA", at positions 1041 to 1444 of the family's 3401-position model. Lineage: Eukaryota; Metazoa; Arthropoda; Insecta; Hymenoptera; Formicidae. The record is from Rfam by way of RNAcentral.
UUCCCGCGGAGGUUUAAUUUUACCUUUCUUUGUCGCGUGGUUAAUGUUCUGUGUUUGUACAUUUAUUUCGUCCUCCGUAGUGUUUUUUAAAUAAGUAGAACUGGCGCUGUGGGAUGAACCAAACGCAGAGUUAAGGCGCCCAACUCGACGCUCAUGGGACACCAUGAAAGGCGUUGGUUGCUUAAGACAGCAGGACGGUGGCCAUGGAAGUCGGAAUCCGCUAAGGAGUGUGUAACAACUCACCUGCCGAAGCAACUAGCCCUGAAAAUGGAUGGCGCUGAAGCGUCGAGCCUAUACUCUGCCGUCAGCGGCAAGUGGGGCGGCCGUGUGCGCGUCGUCAGACGCGUGCGCGCCGCCACGAAGCCCUGACGAGUAGGAGGGUCGCGGCGGUGUGCGCAGAAGGGUCUGGGCGCGAGCCUGCCUGGAGCCGCCGUCGGUG